UAAGGAAGUGGCAGCCUGAGGCCUUAGAAACAUGAAUAUAUUCUCAUUCCUCAAACACAAAAGAUGUCAUGCAUUUUCUGCAUUUCAUACCCAAAAAGGAUCCUUUAUGCAAUAUGUGAGAGACUCCAGACUCAUAGGAAUGUAGAGAGUAGAUAUAUCAAUGAAAUGGGCCUGGUCUUUCUGUAUAUAGGGUUAUACACUCACACAUUGAGGUCCCCAAGCAGGAAGGGAAGGGGGAGAUGAAGAGAUCCCACUACAGAGAAUAGUCUGAUGACACAAAGACCCGAUUGAAUCAUAAAAUGCUGAUGGGGGGCAGAGUUAUAAGAGGCAGCAGAGGUGUAGGGAUAGAGACAGCCCUGGGGCUGUGACCUUCCUUCUAAGCCACUGUAGUCAUCUCCCUCCAUGAAAGACUCCCUGGAGAGAGCAGAAGUAAGGAACCUCCAUCUCCCCUCACCCUCCUAAACAAACCCAACCCCUUGGGGCCCCUUGUAGCAUUGAAUGUGAGGGAGGGGAAAAGGAGGCAGAGAGGGGGAAUGAUGGAUUGAAAAUGGAGCCUGAGAGCAUUGGAGUGAGAGGGGAACUGACUGGUGGCACAGAGGUUAGUGGGAUGUCCAUAGGUAGACCAUGGAGAUUGGGAGGAUAGGGUUGUUGGGAGAAGGACCUCACCAAGGUGAGCACUGACAUCACUGCUUACCACGUCUCUGCUUGGAGAGUUUAACAAGGGGAGGGUCUGGCUAGGCAGAACUCAUCUUCCCUUGUGUGCUUAUCACCAUAGAGCUGCUAAUGAAUGUGUAAGAGGGGAGAGAGGUCCAGAAAUUUACCCAAAGGCCACUCUGAGGAUCAGUUGGCAGAAAAGUGGUCACGAAACACAAGCCACAGACUGCUGAAUCCAGUUCCAAAAGAAAGAAAAGAUCCCUGCUCAUCCCUCCAGAACAACAGCUUUCCAUUCUGAGGGCUGCUAAUGGAUGUCUGAGAGGGGAGAGGGGUCCAGAAAUUUGCCCAAAGCCCAUUCUGAGGAUCGGUUGGCAGAAAAGUGGUCACAACACACAAGCCACAGACUGCUGCAUCCAGUCCCAAAAGAAAGAAAGGAUCCCUGCUCAUCCCUACAGAACAACAGCUUUCCAUUUGAGGGCUGCUAAUGGAUGUCUGAGAGGGAAGAGGGGUCCAGAAAUUUGCCCAAAGCCCAUUCUGAGGAUCGGUUGGCAGAAAAGUGGUCACAACACACAAGCCACAGACUGCUGCAUCCAGUCCCAAAAGAAAGAAAGGAUCCCUGCUCAUCCCUCCGGAACAACAGCUUUUUCCAUUCUGAGGGCUGCUAAUGGAUGUCUGAGAGGGAAGAGGGGUCCAGAAAUUUGCCCAAAGGCCAUUCUGAGGAUCGGUUGGCAGAAAAGUGGUCACAACACACAAGCCACAGACUGCUGCAUCCAGUCCCAAAAGAAAGAAAGGAUCCCGGCUCAUCCCUACAGAACAACAGCUUUUUCCAUUCUGAGGGCUGCUAAUGGAUGUCUGAGAGGGGAGAGGGGUCCAGAAAUUUGCCCAAAGGCCAUUCUGACGAUUGGUUGGCAGAAAAGUGGUCACAACACACAAGCCACAGACUGCUGCAUCCAGUCCCAUAAGAAAGAAAGGAUCCCUGCUCAUCCCUCCGGAACAACAGCUUUUUCCAUUCUGAGGGCUACUAAUGGAUGUCUAAAGGGGGAGAGAGGUUCAGAAAUUUGCCAAAAGGCUACCCUGAGCAUCACUUGUCAGAAAAGUCAUUUGGAAACACAAGUGACAGAUUGCUGAAUCCACUCCAUGGGAAAUAAAUGAUCCAUGCUGGUCCCCCCA
RNAcentral lists this long non-coding RNA (1824 nucleotides) under Monodelphis domestica (gray short-tailed opossum). Its description in RNAcentral is "lncRNA (ENSMODG00000034805.2)". Lineage: Eukaryota; Metazoa; Chordata; Mammalia; Didelphimorphia; Didelphidae. The record is from RNAcentral.